GAUGAACGCUGGCGGCGUGCUUAACACAUGCAAGUCGAACGGAAAGGCCCUGCUUUUGUGGGGUGCUCGAGUGGCGAACGGGUGAGUAACACGUGAGUAACCUGCCCUUGACUUUGUGAUAACUUCAGGAAACUGGGGCUAAUACACGAUAGGAUCUACUGCUGCAUGUGGGGGGUUGGUAAGUUUCGGCGUUUGGGGCUGGACUCGCGGCUUAUCAGCUUGUUGGUGGAGUAGUGGCUUACGAAGGCUGUGAGGGGUAGCCGGCAUUGGAGGGCUGCCGGGCACCAUGGUCCUGCGGUACGGAGCAGUCUCCAAGCGGAGGCAGUGGUCGAGAGUAUUGCACAGCGGGCGGACGCGUGUUGCGGAAAUGUCGCGAGCGGGAUGACGUGCUACGGGUUGUAAACCGCUUUCGACUGAGAUGAGGCGUGAGUGACGGUAAUGAGUAAAGAAGCCACGGCUAACUACGUG
This 468-nucleotide ribosomal RNA is filed under the name uncultured bacterium. Its description in RNAcentral is "partial 16S ribosomal RNA". It matches the Rfam family "Bacterial small subunit ribosomal RNA", at positions 28 to 507 of the family's 1533-position model. The record is from RNAcentral.